AACGUAGGACACAAGCGUUACCCGGAGUUACUGGGCGUAAAGGGCGUUUAGGCGGGUGAUUAAGUUCGCUAUGAAAGCGCCAGGCUAAACCUGGCGAGGCUGGCGGAUACUGGUCAUCUGGAGUGAGGGAGAGGGAAGUAGAAUUCCGCGUGUAGUGGUGAAAUGCGUAGAGAUGCGGAGGAAUACCAGUGGCGAAGGCGACUUCCUGGCCCUCAACUGACGCUGAAGCGCGAAAGCAUGGGGAGCGAACGGG
RNAcentral lists this ribosomal RNA (253 nucleotides) under uncultured bacterium. RNAcentral describes it as "partial 16S ribosomal RNA". It matches the Rfam family "Bacterial small subunit ribosomal RNA", at positions 524 to 776 of the family's 1533-position model. The record is from RNAcentral.